This 614-nucleotide ribosomal RNA is filed under the name Saccharomyces cerevisiae (brewer's yeast). RNAcentral describes it as "eukaryotic LSU rRNA". It matches the Rfam family "Eukaryotic large subunit ribosomal RNA", at positions 65 to 664 of the family's 3401-position model. Lineage: Eukaryota; Fungi; Ascomycota; Saccharomycetes; Saccharomycetales; Saccharomycetaceae. The record is from RNAcentral.
CCAACCGGGAUUGCCUUAGUAACGGCGAGUGAAGCGGCAAAAGCUCAAAUUUGAAAUCUGGUACCUUCGGUGCCCGAGUUGUAAUUUGGAGAGGGCAACUUUGGGGCCGUUCCUUGUCUAUGUUCCUUGGAACAGGACGUCAUAGAGGGUGAGAAUCCCGUGUGGCGAGGAGUGCGGUUCUUUGUAAAGUGCCUUCGAAGAGUCGAGUUGUUUGGGAAUGCAGCUCUAAGUGGGUGGUAAAUUCCAUCUAAAGCUAAAUAUUGGCGAGAGACCGAUAGCGAACAAGUACAGUGAUGGAAAGAUGAAAAGAACUUUGAAAAGAGAGUGAAAAAGUACGUGAAAUUGUUGAAAGGGAAGGGCAUUUGAUCAGACAUGGUGUUUUGUGCCCUCUGCUCCUUGUGGGUAGGGGAAUCUCGCAUUUCACUGGGCCAGCAUCAGUUUUGGUGGCAGGAUAAAUCCAUAGGAAUGUAGCUUGCCUCGGUAAGUAUUAUAGCCUGUGGGAAUACUGCCAGCUGGGACUGAGGACUGCGACGUAAGUCAAGGAUGCUGGCAUAAUGGUUAUAUGCCGCCCGUCUUGAAACACGGACCUCCUGUGUGAGGGGAAUUCCCCCUAA